This 65-nucleotide transfer RNA is filed under the name Ceratophyllus anisus. RNAcentral describes it as "tRNA-Asp". The record is from RNAcentral. Lineage: Eukaryota; Metazoa; Arthropoda; Insecta; Siphonaptera; Ceratophyllidae.
AAAGGUUUAGUUAAAAUAUAACAUUAGAAUGUCAAACUGAAAUUAUUUAAUAUAAAUAACCUUUA